This 440-nucleotide ribosomal RNA is filed under the name uncultured bacterium. Its description in RNAcentral is "partial 16S ribosomal RNA". It matches the Rfam family "Bacterial small subunit ribosomal RNA", at positions 338 to 795 of the family's 1533-position model. The record is from RNAcentral.
CCUACGGGUGGCAGCAGUGGGGAAUAUUGCACAAUGGGGGAAACCCUGAUGCAGCGACGCCGCGUGAGCGAAGAAGUAUUUCGGUAUGUAAAGCUCUAUCAGCAGGGAAGAAAAUGACGGUACCUGAGUAAGAAGCUCCGGCUAAAUACGUGCCAGCAGCCGCGGUAAUAUGUAUGGAGCAAGCGUUAUCCGGAUUUACUGGGUGUAAAGGGAGCGCAGGCGGCCUUGCAAGUCUGAUGUGAAAUACCGGGGCUCAACCCCGGAGCUGCAUUGGAAACUGUGAGGCUGGAGUGUAGGAGAGGCAGGCGGAAUGCCGAGGGUAGCGGUGAAAUGCGUAGAUAUUAGGAGGAACACCAGGGGCGAAGGCGGCCUGCUGGACGAGGACUGACGCUGAGGCUCGAAAGCGUGGGGAGAAAACAGGAUUAGAUACCCUUGUAGUC